UCGUAUAUAGAAUCAAAUUCCAAGAUUGUAGUUUAUCUCCACGUUCUUGGGAGAUCGAUACAUUCAGCUUAGAUAUUUCCGUCUUUCUCAUAAAUCUGACGGUAAAUAGACUGGGAUUUGAAAGUUAAGAGGCGCACAGAAUUACAUACCCAAUUCAAGGCUGGGCUUCUCACAUUGCUGGGCCCAAUUUCUUUCUUUCUUUCUCAAGCCCUUUUUUUAUGGGCGACGGUAUGACGGUGAAGUUAGCUAAACUGUGCCUUUCACACGUGCAGAAAGAGAUCGACUUGGUGGGAAAAUAGCACGCAAGUUCCUGUUUCCAUAUCCUUACCAAUUGGAACUGGCUGGUGGCUACUUACCCUUUACCAACCACCAUCUACGGCCACAAGUUCCACCCCCAAACGCUAUUGCGCAUUUCCCCAGCUUAUUAUUCCGGCCAUCACCCAUGCCUGAGUUCUUUGAAUUAAAUCCUAAAAUACAUGUCCUUUAAUCAAAAUCCUGCCUCAACUGUAAUGCUAAUCUCAAGAAACAUCAAUGCCAUUGUUGCAUGCAAUCCGAUUGAAGAAACUAUGCUGUUCGUAUUCUUUCCGAUGUUAUGGUUUUUCAUACAUAAGGGUUCACAAUAAAAAACAAAGAAAUACAAGGAAUAUGUAAAAUAUCGAAAAUUCCCUAAAAGUCUCUGCCAAACAUAACCAUAACUUUAAAGAAAACCUAAUUUUUAUCUCCUAAAAUUCCUAAUCAUCCAAAAUUACAGUUUCUAUUAAAACUGUAUUUACAACAGAAGACGUCUUGCAUAUAUUAAAUUAAAGGCCAAGUUUAACCAUCAGAAGCAAGCUAAUUAAUCAAGCACAAGCCUCUCUUCUUGUUCUUGGUAGCAUAGUGAAGAAAGCUUCAAGAUCAGGAGGAUUAAAAUACCCGUCCUUGGGUGGGCUUCUCUGCUUGGUACAUACGGGUUUCUUCCUUGCCGGCGGUGGUGGACAUUCCAACGCCGUCAGUAUUCGGCUCUCGCGGUGCAUCGGUGUCUUGCAACCUUCGUGAUCUGCCUCCAUCGUCUUGUAAAACAAGCUUCGACUCUUGAGAGAUAUCUCUAAAUGAAGUGAAAACGAUGAAGAAGCCUAGAGUUUGGAUUCAAUUAAAGAGCGAGUUCUUCAUACUUAUAGAGAUUUAACGACGUUGCCACCAGGCGCUAGCUUGUUCGGG
RNAcentral lists this long non-coding RNA (1197 nucleotides) under Manihot esculenta (cassava). RNAcentral describes it as "long non-coding RNA (MESC_LNC005787)". Lineage: Eukaryota; Viridiplantae; Streptophyta; Magnoliopsida; Malpighiales; Euphorbiaceae. The record is from RNAcentral.